RNAcentral lists this ribosomal RNA (540 nucleotides) under Fusarium avenaceum. RNAcentral describes it as "eukaryotic LSU rRNA". The stretch from base 156 to 309 matches the Rfam family "5.8S ribosomal RNA". The record is from RNAcentral. Lineage: Eukaryota; Fungi; Ascomycota; Sordariomycetes; Hypocreales; Nectriaceae.
GGGGAAUUACGAGUUCACUCCCAACCCCUGUGAACAUACCUUAAUGUUGCCUCGGCGGAUCAGCCCGCGCCCCGUAAAACGGGACGGCCCGCCAGAGGACCCAAACUCUAAUGUUUCUUAUUGUAACUUCUGAGUAAAACAAACAAAUAAAUCAAAACUUUCAACAACGGAUCUCUUGGUUCUGGCAUCGAUGAAGAACGCAGCAAAAUGCGAUAAGUAAUGUGAAUUGCAGAAUUCAGUGAAUCAUCGAAUCUUUGAACGCACAUUGCGCCCGCUGGUAUUCCGGCGGGCAUGCCUGUUCGAGCGUCAUUUCAACCCUCAAGCCCCCGGGUUUGGUGUUGGGGAUCGGCUCUGCCUUCUGGCGGUGCCGCCCCCGAAAUACAUUGGCGGUCUCGCUGCAGCCUCCAUUGCGUAGUAGCUAACACCUCGCAACUGGAACGCGGCGCGGCCAUGCCGUAAAACCCCAACUUCUGAAUGUUGACCUCGGAUCAGGUAGGAAUACCCGCUGAACUUAAGCAUAUCAAAGCUCCGGGAAGAAGG